UGUUAAAAAUUUCAUCCAUUUCUACUAUUAAAACCCAGUGUAGCUGAUGGAUCACAUGUACUUAAUGCUGACAUGCAGGGACCAAUUUUUAAUAGUAGAAAUGAAUGAAAUUUUUAUUA
Non-coding RNA from Gossypium raimondii (Peruvian cotton), 119 nucleotides. Lineage: Eukaryota; Viridiplantae; Streptophyta; Magnoliopsida; Malvales; Malvaceae. The record is from Rfam.